This 654-nucleotide ribosomal RNA is filed under the name uncultured Oomycota. Its description in RNAcentral is "eukaryotic LSU rRNA". The stretch from base 18 to 172 matches the Rfam family "5.8S ribosomal RNA". The record is from RNAcentral. Lineage: Eukaryota; Oomycota.
GCUUUUAACUAGAUAAUAACUUUCAGCAGUGGGUGUCUAGGCUCGCACAUCGAUGAAGAACGCUGCGAACUGCGAUACGUAAUGCGAAUGCAGGGAUUCAGUGAGUCAUCGAAAUUUUGAACGCAUAUGCACUUUCCGGGUUAUCCCUGGGAGUAUGCCUGUAUCAGUGUCCGUACAUCAAACUUGGUUUUCUUCUUUCCGUGUAGUCGGUGGAAGAUAUGCCAGAUGUGAAGUGUCUUGUGGCUGCUUUUCGAAUCGGCCGUGAGUCCUUUGAAAUGUACAGAACGGACUCUCUUUGUUCAAAAAGCGCGGCGUUGCUGGUUGCGAAGGCUGUCAGUGUGAUUAAUCGGCGACCGGUUUGUCUGCUAUGGCAUCAAUGAAGGAGUGUUCAAUUCGCGGUAUGGUUGGCUUUGGCUAAACAGGCGCUUAUGGAACGUUCUUUCUGCUAUGACAGUAUGAACUGGUGAACCGUAGUCGUACAUGACUUGGCGUUUGAAUCGGCUAUGCUGUGCGAAGUAGAGUGACAGUUUUGGCUGUCGAGGGUCGAUCAAUUUGGGAAAUUGUGCUGUGUGAUUUCGGUCGCGUGGCAUCUCAAUUGGACCUGAUAUCAGGCAAGAUUACCCGCUGAACUUAAGCAUAUCAAUAAGCGGAGGA